GGGUCGUUAGCUCAGUUGGUAGAGCAGUUGGCUUUUAACCAAUUGGUCGAAGGUUCGAGUCCUUCACGACCCACCA
This 76-nucleotide transfer RNA is filed under the name Pseudomonas putida. RNAcentral's name for it is "tRNA-Lys". It matches the Rfam family "tRNA". Rfam says of the family: Transfer RNA (tRNA) molecules are approximately 80 nucleotides in length. Their secondary structure includes four short double-helical elements and three loops (D, anti-codon, and T loops). Further hydrogen bonds mediate the characteristic L-shaped molecular structure. tRNAs have two regions of fundamental functional importance: the anti-codon, which is responsible for specific mRNA codon recognition, and the 3' end, to which the tRNAs corresponding amino acid is attached (by aminoacyl-tRNA synthetases). tRNAs cope with the degeneracy of the genetic code in two manners: having more than one tRNA (with a specific anti-codon) for a particular amino acid; and 'wobble' base-pairing, i.e. permitting non-standard base-pairing at the 3rd anti-codon position. Lineage: Bacteria; Pseudomonadati; Pseudomonadota; Gammaproteobacteria; Pseudomonadales; Pseudomonadaceae. RNAcentral also lists the same sequence under 10 other names. The record is from RNAcentral.